GACGAACGCUGGCGGCGUGCUUAAUACAUGCAAGUCGAACGGGCCUUGUCCCCUUUUUUUUUGGGGGUGGGGUUAGUGGCGAACGGGUGAGUAACACGUGAGUAACCUGCCCCUCACUUCUGGAUAACCGCUUGAAAGGGUGGCUAAUACGGGGUGUUCUGGCCUGCUCGCAUGGGUGGGUUUGGAAAGAUUCGACCGGUUUUGGUUGUUUUGGUGGGGGAUGGGCUCGCGGCCUAUCAGCUUGUUGGUGGGGUGAUGGCCUGCCAAGGCUUUGACGGGUAGCCGGCCUGAGAGGGUGGGCGGUCACACUGGGACUGAGACACGGCCCAGACUCCUACGGGAGGCAGCAGUGGGGAAUAUUGCACAAUGGGCGCAAGCCUGAUGCAGCGACGCCGCGUGAGGGAUGGAGGCCUUCGGGUUGUGAACCUCUUUCGCCAGUGAAGAAGGUCCUGCUCUUUGUGGUGGGGUUGACGGUAGCGGGGUUAAUGAAGCGCCGGCUAACUACGUG
Molecule: ribosomal RNA, 508 nt
Filed under: uncultured bacterium
Lineage: Bacteria
Description: partial 16S ribosomal RNA
Rfam family: Bacterial small subunit ribosomal RNA
Source: RNAcentral